GGGGGGGGUUACUUCCUAUUAUUGGGUAUACGGGGAUGUGCCAAAAAUAUGGGUCAUAAUUUUGCGAGAUUUUAUAUAAAAAUGACCCUCCUUUUUAAUGACAUCCUAAAAUGCAUUUAUGUUUGAUAACUGUAUAUUGAUUUGGGGUAUGAUCUACAUAUCAUAUAUAAAUAUGCACCAAACGAUGUCAAUUCAUAUAUAAAAACUUAAGGGCAGCUGGUAUAUUUAUGAAUUAUGAGUGAUGAUGAGUUAGUGCUUAUAUAAGCAUGGGUCAUAUUUUAAAUAUUGUAUAUAAGUAUAGGUCAUUCUUUCUUAAAUAUUUAUAUAACUAUAGGUACUGAAUUUCAGUGAAUGUUAUAUUAAAAUGGGUACGUUUUUUGAGGCAAAAAAUGGCACACCCUUACCUAAAAAA
This 412-nucleotide long non-coding RNA is filed under the name Mytilus galloprovincialis (Mediterranean mussel). The record is from RNAcentral. Lineage: Eukaryota; Metazoa; Mollusca; Bivalvia; Mytilida; Mytilidae.